ACCAAAUAUGCUCCUUCCUAAAAUUUUGAGUUAUAUAUACUCUAAGUCUCUUACCACAUCAAAUAUGAACAUGAUACAUUUCUAAACAUCUGAAAAGUGCAACAACGCAAAUAUGUGUUAUUGGGUGAAGUGUAACAAUAACUUAUUGAAAAGGAAACGAGUUAAUUAGAGCAUGAAAAGCAUUUCUAGUUGUUCUUGUGUGAGUGCCACCAAAUCUGCACAUUCCAUGUAUAAAUUAUCUAGGUACCAGAG
RNAcentral lists this long non-coding RNA (252 nucleotides) under Hordeum vulgare. Its description in RNAcentral is "long non-coding RNA (HVUL_LNC004313)". Lineage: Eukaryota; Viridiplantae; Streptophyta; Magnoliopsida; Poales; Poaceae. The record is from RNAcentral.